Long non-coding RNA from Daucus carota subsp. sativus, 2355 nucleotides. RefSeq lists it as uncharacterized. The record is from RefSeq and is a predicted model, not a curated record. The transcript is spliced from 10 exons. NCBI's taxonomy places the organism in Eukaryota, Viridiplantae, Streptophyta, Magnoliopsida, Apiales, Apiaceae.
GUAUAAUUUUCUUUCCUUCACUAUUACCGUAAUUCAAGAUUCUAUCCGUGUUGUCCCUUGGUGAUGAUCAUUCAUACAGAAUAGAAGCGAAGCUGCUUUUACCUGGGUCUAGCAGUUCCAACUCAAUUAAAGGUUUCACUCUUUUAAAUCAGUGCGGCGGAGAGGCUGGGGAUAAUUCUCCAGAGUCUGAUCAAAUAAGUGAUGGUCGGGAGUUUGAGUAAUGAGGUUCCGGAGAUCGCUGUUGAUACAUAUCGAAUUACAAGGCUUGGCUUCACUUUGCUACCUUAACUUGGUGUUGUAGGUGAAAGUAGUGAGAGGGGCUAUGAUUUUGAUGGUGGAAGCUUGGAAAAAAAAUAGUGAGGCAUAAAGUGUUUGUUAGGAGUAAACAAAAAUCAACCAGGAUUGUGGCAUAUCAAGGGUUUCCUAUUUGGCUUGACAUACUUCUGGGCAUUAGCUUGAGGACAUACAAUGAGCCAUUCAAGGUUACAAAGAGUCUCAAGGAGGCCCUAUCAUGCUCUCUCAGGUUCCCCGACUUUGGAGGCCCGACAUAUAAGUGACGAGUUCAGGAUUUAGCAUUUGCAAAACAAAUUUAGGUGGUAACUGCACAUCUGCUAAUCGAGGAGGUGAACAUUGCACAGAGUUCUAAAUUGCGGCAUGCUUUUGUUCAACAAAUAGACGCUAAUCUUCUUUUUGAUGUUAAAGGCUACACCAUUUACUAUCUUUUUCCGUCUAUAGACCAUACAUCUGAAAUUGCUAACAUAGUCCAUACUCCUUCUCAAAACUUGAUUUCACUGCCUUCAAACGCGAACUUCUCUUAUUGUCGUUGAUCACAAUGCCAAGGAUCAAACUAUGUCACUACUGGACACAAAAUUAAAUGGAAUACUUGAAGUUUCAUGGCUAACCAGCAGUAGUAACCGAAAAAAACCAGCAGGCAUAUAAGGAUUCCGGUUUGUCAUGAUUCAUAUUUUAGCAAUUUUGUUAUUAUUGAAAUUUAUGUUAUUUAAUUUCUUUGUGGCCAAACAAACAAUGUGAGGAUACUACAGAAAUACUUGAAGUUUCAUGGCUACUAACCAGCAAUAAUAACCGGAAAAAACCAGCAGGUAUACAAGGAUUCCAAUUUGUCACGAUUCAUAUUUUAGCAAUUUUUCUCCAAUUAAAAUCCAAUUUAAUUUCCUUUGUUACAAUAAUCUUUAAGUGAUUCAGUUUCUCAUAAUUUAGGAAUUUGUUGUUAUCAUUAGAUUUUAGAUUUGUUGCUAUCAAUAGUCUCCAAUCAAAUGCUUCUGAUUUCGAAACUAGACAUGAAAACACAAUAAACUCAGGUAUCAUCUCAUAUUUCAUUCUACUAUUCAAUUUACAGGAAAAAUUUAAUGUGAAUUUUUCGUCUUAAACCUACACUUAUCAGUUCAAAAGUGAAGAGGCAGAGGUCUAGGCAUAAUUAACUUCUGGAAGCUCAAAACAAGGAUUUACUAUUUCACAUCUCGCAAUCAAGCACAACUGCCAGACGUAGAGGAAGAGGUCCGGGAAUAGAGCAGUUGUAUGCGCAGAGGUUUGCCGAGGAUUCUCUACCUGUAUCUAAACAUCAAACCUUGAUAAAAGGAGAUUUCUAAUUCUUGAAUUUUAUUGUCGUCCACAGGUAGCUAUAUUCUGAGUAAUUCGGUCAACAAGAUUUCAUUCUGCAGGCAGAUGCACAAGUAGGUAUCGUCUUAUACUCCCAACUCAUCAAUUUCUUUUUUUUAUGGUGCAAAUAACCAUUCCAAUAUAGAAUUUUAACUUGAACAUUAUCCUACAAGCUUUAUACAACGUUUGUUCUGGACAAAGUCACAUGUAUUCUGUAGUACUUUACUUUGACCACGUCAGGUUUCGGUCGCACAAGGUCCUCAUUCUGAUUAAGGGUUCAGAGGGAAAGAGGUGCAGAUGAAGGGCAAAAAUACUUUUGCAGCUCCAAGGAAUGGCAGGCCACUUGGUUAUACUAGCAACAUUAACACAAAACCUGGAUGUGGUCGGGGAUGUUGUUGAGAAAAAAGAAGACAGAAGUAAUACCACAAUGAUGGUCAUGUAAUUCCUCUGGGGUUGAGCUAUACAAGAUUGCUUGGAGUAGAUAUUAGUUUUUUGACCUCGGUAUUCCUAGAUUAGCUUUGCACGAAGACAUUCUGUUACGUGUGUUAAUGUUAUCUGAUUAUAUGGUGCAUCUUACUAAUGCAUGAAGGUGAUUGCCUAAUGGAACCAACAAAGACAGAAAAUCUUCUAAUUACAGAAAUUCAUAUGGAUGAAUGGGUUCUGCUUGGUCCAGACCUACACCAUUGAUAUGAAUGUCAAUGACUUUUUUCUGGGUAAGCUAUCAGAAUUUUAUUAUUA